RNAcentral lists this ribosomal RNA (595 nucleotides) under uncultured bacterium. RNAcentral's name for it is "bacterial SSU rRNA". It matches the Rfam family "Bacterial small subunit ribosomal RNA", at positions 28 to 713 of the family's 1533-position model. The record is from RNAcentral.
GACGAACGCUGGCGGCGUGCCUAACACAUGCAAGUCGAACGGAGUGGCGGACGGGUGAGUAACGCGUGAGUAACCUGCCUCUAAGAGGGGAAUAACAUUCUGAAAAGAAUGCUAAUACCGCAUACUUAGAGAUGGACUCGCGUCCGAUUAGUUAGUUGGUGAGGUAACGGCUCACCAAGACCGCGAUCGGUAGCCGGACUGAGAGGUUGAACGGCCACAUUGGGACUGAGGCACGGCCCAGACUCCUACGGGAGGCAGCAGUGGGGGAUAUUGCGCAAUGGGGGAAACCCUGACGCAGCAACGCCGCGUGAAGGAUGAAGGUCUUCGGAUUGUAAACUUCUUUUAUUAAGGACGCGGUACUUAAUGAAUAAGCUCCGGCUAACUACGUGCCAGCAGCCGCGGUAAUACGUAGGGAGCAAGCGUUGUCCGGAUUUACUGGGUGUAAAGGGUGCGUAGGCGGGACUGCAAGUUGGAUGUGAAAUACCGUGGCUUAACCACGGAACUGCAUCCAAAACUGUAGUUCUUGAGUGAAGUAGAGGCAAGCGGAAUUCCGAGUGUAGCGGUGAAAUGCGUAGAUACUCGGAGGAACACCAGU